Molecule: ribosomal RNA, 486 nt
Filed under: uncultured bacterium
Lineage: Bacteria
Description: partial 16S ribosomal RNA
Rfam family: Bacterial small subunit ribosomal RNA
Source: RNAcentral
AUUGAACGCUGGCGGCAUGCCUUACACAUGCAAGUCGAACGGCAGCACGGGUGCUUGCACCUGGUGGCGAGUGGCGAACGGGUGAGUAAUACAUCGGAACAUGUCCUGUAGUGGGGGAUAGCCCGGCGAAAGCCGGAUUAAUACCGCAUACGAUCCACGGAUGAAAGCGGGGGACCUUCGGGCCUCGCGCUAUAGGGUUGGCCGAUGGCUGAUUAGCUAGUUGGUGGGGUAAAGGCCUACCAAGGCGACGAUCAGUAGCUGGUCUGAGAGGACGACCAGCCACACUGGGACUGAGACACGGCCCAGACUCCUACGGGAGGCAGCAGUGGGGAAUUUUGGACAAUGGGCGAAAGCCUGAUCCAGCAAUGCCGCGUGUGUGAAGAAGGCCUUCGGGUUGUAAAGCACUUUUGUCCGGAAAGAAAUCCUUGACUCUAAUACAGUCAGGGGAUGACGGUACCGGAAGAAUAAGCACCGGCUAACUACGUG